UGGGGAAUAUUGCACAAUGGGCGCAAGCCUGAUGCAGCGACGCCGCGUGGAGGAUGACGGCCUUCGGGUUGUAAACUCCUUUCAGCAGGGAAGAAGCGCAAGUGACGGUACCUGCAGAAGAAGCGCCGGCUAACUACGUGCCAGCAGCCGCGGUAAUACGUAGGGCGCAAGCGUUGUCCGGAAUUAUUGGGCGUAAAGAGCUCGUAGGCGGUGUGUCGCGUCUGCUGUGAAAACUCAAGGCUCAACCUUGGGCUUGCAGUGGGUACGGGCACACUAGAGUGCGGUAGGGGUGACUGGAAUUCCUGGUGUAGCGGUGGAAUGCGCAGAUAUCAGGAGGAACACCGAUGGCGAAGGCAGGUCACUGGGCCGCAACUGACGCUGAGGAGCGAAAGCAUGGGGA
Molecule: ribosomal RNA, 400 nt
Filed under: uncultured bacterium
Lineage: Bacteria
Description: bacterial SSU rRNA
Rfam family: Bacterial small subunit ribosomal RNA
Source: RNAcentral